CAGCAGCACUUCAAUAUUGGCAGUGUCCACCCCCUCCGGCCGCCAGUAUUGCCUGUGCUGCUCCA
Molecule: microRNA precursor, 65 nt
Filed under: Anolis carolinensis (green anole)
Lineage: Eukaryota; Metazoa; Chordata; Lepidosauria; Squamata; Anolidae
Description: Aca-Mir-15-P2d_pre stem-loop
Source: RNAcentral